Molecule: ribosomal RNA, 694 nt
Filed under: uncultured archaeon
Lineage: Archaea
Description: bacterial SSU rRNA
Rfam family: Archaeal small subunit ribosomal RNA
Source: RNAcentral
CACUACUUCUGGAAUGGGUAAUGACUUAAACCUAUAUGGCCCCUGGAUUGGACUGCGGCCGAUCAGGCUGUUGGUGAGGUAAUGGCCCACCAAACCUGUAACCGGUACGGGCUCUGAGAGGAGGAGCCCGGAGAUGGGCACUGAGACAAGGGCCCAGGCCCUAUGGGGCGCAGCAGGCGCGAAACCUCUGCAAUAGGCGAAAGCCUGACAGGGUUACUCUGAGUGAUUUCCGUUAAGGAGAUCUUUUGGCACCUCUAAAAAUGGUGCAGAAUAAGGGGUGGGCAAGUCUGGUGUCAGCCGCCGCGGUAAUACCAGCACCCCGAGUGGUCGGGACGUUUAUUGGGCCUAAAGCAUCCGUAGCCGGUUCUACAAGUCUUCCGUUAAAUCCACCUGCUUAACAGAUGGGCUGCGGAAGAUACUAUGGAGCUAGGAGGCGGGAGAGGCAAGCGGUACUCGAUGGGUAGGGGUAAAAUCCGUUGAUCCAUUGAAGACCACCAGUGGCGAAGGCGGCUUGCCAGAACGCGCUCGACGGUGAGGGAUGAAAGCUGGGGGAGCAAACCGGAUUAGAUACCCGGGUAGUCCCAGCUGUAAACGAUGCAGACUCGGUGAUGAAUUGGCUUCAUGCCAAUUCAGUGCCGCAGGGAAGCCGUUAAGUUUGCCGCCUGGGGAGUACGGUCGCAAGACUGAAACUUAA